CCUACGGGUGGCAGCAGUGAGGAAUAUUGGUCAAUGGCCGCAGGGCUGAACCAGCCAAGUCGCGUGAGGGAUGACGGUCCUAUGGAUUGUAAACUUCUUUUGUCUGGGAGCAAAGUGUGCCACGUGUGGCGUUUUGUGAGUACCUUAAGAAAAAGCAUCGGCUCACUCCGUGCCAGCAGCCGCGGUAAUACGGGGGAUGCGAGCGUUAUCCGGAUUUGUUGGGUUUAAGGGGUGCGCAGGCGGAAUGUUAAGUCAGCGGUAAAAUUUCGGGGCUCAACCCCGACGUGCCGUUGAAACUGGCAGUCUUGAUUGAGCGAGAAGUAUGCGGAAUGCGUGGUGUAGCGGUGAAAUGCAUAGAUAUCACGCAGAACUCCGAUUGCGAAGGCAGCAUACCGGCGCUCAACUGACGCUCAUGCACGAAAGCGUGGGUAUCGAACAGGAUUAGAUACCCUAGUAGUC
RNAcentral lists this ribosomal RNA (459 nucleotides) under uncultured bacterium. RNAcentral's name for it is "partial 16S ribosomal RNA". It matches the Rfam family "Bacterial small subunit ribosomal RNA", at positions 338 to 795 of the family's 1533-position model. The record is from RNAcentral.